This 429-nucleotide ribosomal RNA is filed under the name Actinomycetes bacterium. Its description in RNAcentral is "Actinobacteria bacterium partial 16S ribosomal RNA". It matches the Rfam family "Bacterial small subunit ribosomal RNA", at positions 355 to 776 of the family's 1533-position model. Lineage: Bacteria; Bacillati; Actinomycetota; Actinomycetes. The record is from RNAcentral.
UAGGGAAUCUUCCGCAAUGGGCGAAAGUCUGACGGAGCAACGCCGCGUGAGUGAUGAAGGUCUUCGGAUCGUAAAACUCUGUUAUUAGGGAAGAACAAAUGUGUAAGUAACUAUGCACGUCUUGACGGUACCUAAUCAGAAAGCCACGGCUAACUACGUGCCAGCAGCCGCGGUAAUACGUAGGUGGCAAGCGUUAUCCGGAAUUAUUGGGCGUAAAGCGCGCGUAGGCGGUUUUUUAAGUCUGAUGUGAAAGCCCACGGCUCAACCGUGGAGGGUCAUUGGAAACUGGAAAACUUGAGUGCAGAAGAGGAAAGUGGAAUUCCAUGUGUAGCGGUGAAAUGCGCAGAGAUAUGGAGGAACACCAGUGGCGAAGGCGACUUUCUGGUCUGUAACUGACGCUGAUGUGCGAAAGCGUGGGGAUCAAACAGG